RNAcentral lists this ribosomal RNA (348 nucleotides) under uncultured bacterium. RNAcentral's name for it is "partial 16S ribosomal RNA". It matches the Rfam family "Bacterial small subunit ribosomal RNA", at positions 338 to 704 of the family's 1533-position model. The record is from RNAcentral.
ACUACGGGUGGCAGCAGUGGGGGAUAUUGCACAAUGGGCGAAAGCCUGAUGCAGCGACGCCGCGUGAGGGAAGACGGUCUGCGGAGUGUAAACCUCUGUCUUUGGGGAAGAAAAUGACGGUACCCAAAGAGGAAGCUCCGGCUAACUACGUGCCAGCAGCCGCGGUAAUACGUAGGGAGCAAGCGUUGUCCGGAAUUACUGGGUGUAAAGGGAGCGGAGGCGGGCUGGCAAGUAGAAUGUUAAAUCCAUCGGCUCAACCGGUGGCUGCGUUCUAAACUGCCGUUCUUGAGUGCAGUAGAGGCCGGCGGACUUCCUCUUGUAGCGGUGCACUGCGUAGUUAUUAGGAGG